GAUGAACGCUGGCGGCGUGCCUAAUACAUGCAAGUCGAGCGAACGGACGAGAAGCUUGCUUCUCUGAUGUUAGCGGCGGACGGGUGAGUAACACGUGGAUAACCUACCUAUAAGACUGGGAUAACUUCGGGAAACCGGAGCUAAUACCGGAUGAUAUCUUGAACCGCAUGGUUCAAAAGUGAAAGACGGUCUUGCUGUCACUUAUAGAUGGAUCCGCGCUGCAUUAGCUAGUUGGUAAGGUAACGGCUUACCAAGGCAACGAUGCAUAGCCGACGUGAGAGGGUGAUCGGCCGCAUUGGAACUGAGACACGGUCAAGACUCCUACGGGAGGCAGCAGAAGGGAAUCUUCGGCAAUGGGCGAAAGCCUGACGGAGCAACGCCGCGUGAGUGAUGAAGGUCUUGGGAUCGUAAAACUCUGUUAUUAGGGAAGAACAUAUGUGUAAGUAACUGUGCACAUCGUGACGGUACCUAAUCAGAAAGCCACGGCUAACUACGUG
Molecule: ribosomal RNA, 497 nt
Filed under: uncultured bacterium
Lineage: Bacteria
Description: partial 16S ribosomal RNA
Rfam family: Bacterial small subunit ribosomal RNA
Source: RNAcentral